GCCUGCACAAGCUCUCUCUUUUUGCCUGCUGCCAUCCAAGUAAGAUGUGACUUGCUCCUCCUUGCCUUCUGCCGUGAUUGUGAGGCUUCCCCAGCCACGUGGAACUGGGGCUGAAGAACCGAAACUAAAAUGGGAACACAUCACAACCCUCAUUGCAAGCCUCAGAGAAUUUGUGAGAUCCACUGACCGAAAAAUCAUAGCCACCACACUGUCAAAGCUGAAACUGGAGCUGGACUUCGACAGCCAUGGCAUUAGCCAAGUCCAGGUGGUACUCUUUGGUUUUCAAGAUGCUGUCAAUAAAGUUCUUCGGAAUCAUAACAUCAAGCCGCACUGGAUGUUUGCCUUAGACAGUAUCAUUCGGAAGG
RNAcentral lists this long non-coding RNA (365 nucleotides) under Homo sapiens (human). RNAcentral's name for it is "non-protein coding lnc-MAP7-2:1". Lineage: Eukaryota; Metazoa; Chordata; Mammalia; Primates; Hominidae. The record is from RNAcentral.